AUGAUGAUGUCACUGACUCUACUGCUGGCCACCCUGGGGCUCCUUGUUCAGGGUUCAUCAGGACAAGUCAUCCUGACUCAGUCUCCUGGAUCUCAGUCUGUUCUUCCAGGACAGUCUGUCAACUUUAAAUGUAAAGCCAGUGAAUAUGCUGGUCAGAGCUCUAUGCACUGGUACCUUCAGAAACCUGGAGAAGCUCCUAAACUCCUGAUUUAUUCUGUUUCAUCUCGUCAGUCUGGAGUUUCAGAUCGUUUCAGUGGAAGUGGAUCUGGUACUGACUUCACUUUGACCAUCAGUAGAGUUCAGACUGAAGAUUCAGGAGUUUAUUAUUGUCAGCAGAGUUACAGCUCGUUCACACAGUGAAAAACCGUCGUACA
Non-coding RNA from Mugil cephalus (flathead mullet), 374 nucleotides. Lineage: Eukaryota; Metazoa; Chordata; Actinopteri; Mugiliformes; Mugilidae. The record is from the annotation of a RefSeq genome assembly.